UUAGAUUUGUACAGUAUCUGAAUUUAGUUACUUAAGUAUAGCAUGCAAGUUACAAAAUUACUAAAAAUGACACUUAAAUAUUUGCGUACAUUAUAAAAUAUUACUUAGUAUAGCUUCUAGCUGUUUCCACGUAGUUAAGUGAUUGAAGAAGAGUGUAGGGAAGCUUUUUGGCCUCAAUAACUGAUCUGUCUUUGAUUUGAGAUAACAAUGCUUUAGCAUGGCACUGUAGGUUGAAGCCUUAAGGUGGUCCCCAAAUCGUUUACACAAUGGGCCAGCGUGGGUCAUUCUGGGCCCCUUAGGCCAUUUAAGGCCCCUGCCUUAAAUGGUUCCCCGCGAUACAGAGCGGCUACCGCGAAUACCGUAAUUCGCAAAUUGCGGGGAUUUUUCUCUUUUACUCCAUUAAAGGUGUAAUUAGAGUGACAGAGAAAAAUGCCCGCAAUUUGCGAACUUCGAUUUUCGCGGUUAUAGCCCAGGUCUCACCUAGUGCGGGGGCCCCUGGUAAAUAUGUAUACCAUAGUUUAUUGGUAAAUACAUUAUUUUAUUUUACUAAUUUUAUGGCUGCAC
This is a long non-coding RNA of Cydia splendana, 564 nucleotides long. RefSeq lists it as uncharacterized. The record is from RefSeq and is a predicted model, not a curated record. The transcript is spliced from 2 exons. Lineage: Eukaryota; Metazoa; Arthropoda; Insecta; Lepidoptera; Tortricidae.